AGGUAUCAUCUGAUACAGGCCCCGAUGUAGGUAUCAUCUGAUACAGGCCCCGAUGUAGGUAUCAUCUGAUACAGGCCCCGAUGUAGGUAUCAUCUGAUACAGGCCCCGAUGUAGGUAUCAUCUGAUACAGGCCCCGAUGUAGGUAUCAUCUGAUACAGGCCCCGAUGUAGGUAUCAUCUGAUACAGGCCCCGAUGUAGGUAUCAUCUGAUACAGGCCCCGAUGUAGGUAUCAUCUGAUACAGGCCCCGAUGUAGGUAUCAUCUGAUACAGGCCCCGAUGUAGGUAUCAUCUGAUACAGGCCCCGAUGUAGGUAUCAUCUGAUACAGGCCCCGAUGUAGGUAUCAUCUGAUACAGGCCCCGAUGUAGGUAUCAUCUGAUACAGGCCCCGAUGUAGGUAUCAUCUGAUACAGGCCCCGAUGUAGGUAUCAUCUGAUACAGGCCCCGAUGUAGGUAUCAUCUGAUACAGGCCCCGAUGUAGGUAUCAUCUGAUACAGGCCCCGAUGUAGGUAUCAUCUGAUACAGGCCCCGAUGUAGGUAUCAUCUGAUACAGGCCCUGAUGUAGGUGUCAUCUAUGCAUAGUCACUUCACCCCCACCUACAUGCACAAAUUACCUCAACUAACCUGUACCCCCAAACACUGACACUACCAGUGCCCCCUGUAUAUAGCCUCCACACUGACUCGGUACUGGUGCCCCCUGUAUAUAGCCUCCACACUGACUCGGUACUGGUGCCCCCUGUAUAUAGCCUCCACACUGACUCGGUACCGGUGCCCCCUGUAUAUAGCCUCCACACUGACUCGGUACCGGUGCCCCCUGUAUAUAGCCCCGUUACGGUUAUUCAUAUUGUGUUACUUUUUAUUAUUACUUUUUAUUUUAGUCUACUUGGUAAAUAUUUUCUUAACUCUUCUUGAACUGCACUGUCGGUUAAGGGCUUGCGUUUCAUGGUAAAGUCUACACUUGUUGUAUUCGGAGCAUGUGACACAAAGUUUGAUCUGAUACAGGUUCUUAUCUAUGUACCAUCUGAUACAGGUUCUUAUCUAGAUAUCAUCUGAUACAGGUUCUUAUCUAGGUACCAUCUGAUACAGGUUCUUAUCUAGGUACCAUCUGAUACAGGUUCUUAUCUAGGUACCAUCUGAUACAGGUUCUUAUCUAGGUACCAUCUGAUACAGGUUCUUAUCUAGGUACCAUCUGAUACAGGUUCUUAUCUAGGUACCAUCUGAUACAGGUUCUUAUCUAGGUACCAUCUGAUACAGGUUCUUAUCUAGGUACCAUCUGAUACAGGUUCUUAUCUAGGUACCAUCUGAUACAGGUUCUUAUCUAGGUACCAUCUGAUACAGGUUCUUAUCUAGGUACCAUCUGAUACAGGUUCUUAUCUAGGUACCAUCUGAUACAGGUUCUUAUCUAGGUAUCAUCUGAUACAGGUUCUUAUCGAGGUACCAUCUGAUACAGGUUCUUAUCUAGGUAUCAUCUGAUACAGGUUCUUAUCUAGGUAUCAUCGGAUACAGGUUCUUAUCUAGGUAUCAUCGGAUACAGGUUCUUAUAUAGGUACCAUCUGAUACAGGCCCUGAUGUAGGUACCAUCUGAUACAGGUUCUUAUCUAGGUACCAUCUGAUACAGGUUCUUAUCUAGGUACCAUCUGAUACAGGUUCUUAUCUAGGUACCAUCUGAUACAGGUUCUUAUCUAGGUAUCAUCUGAUACAGGUUCUUAUCUAGGUAUCAUCUGAUACAGGCCCUGAUGUAGGUAAGGGAGAAACUUGUUUCUUCAACAUAAUAAAGAGCAACACUGUGUUGAAAAUAUGCUGUAAUAGCGCUUUUUGUAAUUCUGACUUCCCCAGAACUGGAGCCUGGUGCAACUGGUGUUGCUCACCACAACUAUGGCAUCACAUCUGGGGAAUUAAGUUGUUCCCAGACUCUGGUUACUGCAGGUUAGGUGGUCUGCAACACAUCCAGUCUCGUCCAGUUGGCUACAGUAGGUACAGUAUCUAGUGUAGCUCGAGGACAACCUCCAAAUUCUUUCAAAUAAAACAGACGAUUCUACAAUGGUGCUCGCAUUAGGAAGUUGAAUUUGUUUGCUAGCGUUGAUCAGUGGCUGAGAGAAGAACAAACACGACGCAGACUAACAAGCAAGGUGAAGUAGUAACCAAACAUCACACCUCAGAGUAUAACAUUACAGCCAAAACACUGGAAUUGGUUCAGGGAAGUGCACUGCUUGGUAAAUAACGAAAGAUACAUUAAUGUCAGGCCAAUGUAUGCAGGCUUGUGUCUCUGUAUAUAUAAACUGUUAUAUUUACAGUCAUGUUUUCAUGCAUGUUCCGAUUGUAAAUAGACGAUAAAUAAAUAAAUAUCUAUCAGACAUAAACGAUAUAGUAGAUGACUAAAGACCUAGCUGUGUGUUACACAUCUCCAGUCUCACUGAGCCAUGUAUAGGGUGCAUCCCAAAUGGAACCCAUUCCCUACAUACCGCAGCACACUUCUUUUGACCAGAGCCCUAUGGGAAUAUGGUGCCAUUUUGAAUUCACCCAGAGACUGGGAGAGAAGGCACAAUAGGCAGUAAACAAACAUUCAUCACUAAUUCAUUAGAGUACAAACAUCAUUUCUCACACACACAACAUUCCCAUGUUUGCCUGCCAGGUCAAAACACAUUUCUCAUGGCUACAUCUUCUAUCUUCUCGACCAGAAUGAAUCACAGGCGCUUCAAUUCCCUCACCACUAAACCUUGUGGGGACAAAACAUUCAGUCCCAUUCAAAAUCCUAUUUCCAUAAACACUAACCCUUACUCUUACCCUAACCCAAAAACCUAACCCUAAAACUAACCCUAAACAUAAUUAACCCUAACACUAAUUCUAACCUUAACCCCAAAACCCAUAGAAAUAGCAUUUGACCUCGUGGGAACUAACAACAUUUCCCCAGUUAGUCAACUUUUUGUUUGUUUACUAUUCGUUUUUUUGUUGUUGAAAUUUUACCCCUUUUUCGUGGUAUCGAAUUGUUUUAGUCGCUACUAUCUUGUCUCAUCGCUACAACUCCCAUACGGGCUCGGGAGAGACGAAGGUUGAAAGUCAUGCGUCCUCCGAAACACAACCCAACCAAGCCGCACUGCUUCUUAACACAGCGCGCAUCCAACCCGGAAGCCAGCCGCACCAAUGUGUCGGAGGAAACACAGUGCACCUGGCAACCUGGUUGACUUCAAGCCUAUCAACUCCCAAGAUUAGGCUGGCAAUACUAAAGUACCUAUUAGAACAUCCAAUAGUCAAAGGUAUAUGAAAUACAACAUGGUAUAGAGAGAAAUAGUCCUAUAAUAACUACAACCUAAAACUUCUUACCUGGGAAUAUUGAAGACUCAUGUUAAAAGGAACCACCAGCUUUCAUAUGUUCUCAUGUUCUGAGCAAGGAACUUAAACGUUAGCUUUUUUACAUGGCACAUAUUGCACUUUUACUUUCUUCUCCAACACUUUGUUUUUGCAUUAUUUAAACCAAAU
This is a long non-coding RNA of Oncorhynchus keta (chum salmon), 3474 nucleotides long. RefSeq lists it as uncharacterized. The transcript is spliced from 6 exons. Lineage: Eukaryota; Metazoa; Chordata; Actinopteri; Salmoniformes; Salmonidae. The record is from RefSeq and is a predicted model, not a curated record.